RNAcentral lists this transfer RNA (65 nucleotides) under Trichinella papuae. RNAcentral describes it as "tRNA-Lys". Lineage: Eukaryota; Metazoa; Nematoda; Enoplea; Trichinellida; Trichinellidae. The record is from RNAcentral.
AGCCUAAUAGCUUAACUAAAAGCACAAAUCUUUUAAAUUUGGGGAUGUUCACACACUUUGGCUAG